AAAUUAAUAAGAAAAAACUAAUAAAAAAAAAUUUAUUAUUAAAAAUAUCUAAUGGGGGUUAAAGUAUUUUUAAUAGAAAAAAUUUAUAGAUUUAUAGUUAAAUAGUAUUGUAAAAGAAAUUUUAAAUAAUUGAAAUAUAAAAUUUAAAUAAAAGUAAAUUUAAUUUAUUGUAUCUUGUGUAUCAGAGUUUAUUAAAUAAAAAUUUUUACAUAAAAAAUUCUCGAAUUUAAAAGAGUUAAUUAAUUAAAAAAGUUAAUGUUGAAUAAUUAUUUUAAAUAAUUAAUUAGAAAUGAAAUGUUAAUCGUUUUUAAAUAUAUCUAGUUUUUUCAGAAAAAAAUUUAAUUUUAAAUUAAAAUAAUUUUAUAAUUAAUUAAUUAAUUAUAAAAAUUUAAAAUUUAAUAUUUUAGGGGAUAAGCUUUAAAUUAAAAAAUUAUAAUAAUUAAUUUAUAAUUAAAAUUUUUAAUAUUUAUAUUGUUUAAAAAUUAUAAUUUGUUAUAAAAAAUUUUAAUUAAAUUAAAAUUUAAAAAUAAAAUUUAAUUUUUUAUGAGAAAAUUAUUUUUAAUAGUUAAAAAUUAGAAAUAAUGAUAAAAUUAGUAUAAGAUAAAAAAAAAAAUAAAUUUAAUUAAAAUUAAAUUAAAGGAAUUCGGCAAAAAUUUAUAUUCACUUGUUUAUCAAAAACAUGUCUUUUUGGGUAAUAAUUUAAAGUCUAAUCUGCCCACUGAUAUAAAUUAAAGGGCUGCAGUAUAUUGACUGUACAAAGGUAGCAUAAUCAUUAGUCUUUUAAUUGAAGACUUGUAUGAAAGAUUUGAUGAAAUAUAAACUGUCUCUAUUUUAUUAAUAAAAAUUAAUAUUUUAGUUAAAAAGCUAAAAUGAAAUUAAAAGACGAGAAGACCCUAUAGAGUUUAAUAUUUAUUUUUAUUACAUUAAAAUAUAUAAUUAAUUAAUGAAUUAAAAAAAAAUAUUUUGUUGGGGUGAUGAAAAAAUUUAAUGAACUUUUUUUUUUAUAAAACAUAGAUAAAUGAUUAAAUGAUCCAUAAUUUUAUGAUUAUAAGAAAAAAUUACCUUAGGGAUAACAGCGUAAUAUUUUUUUUUAGUACAAAUAAAAAAGAAAGUUUGCGACCUCGAUGUUGGAUUAAGAUAAAAAUUAAAUGCAAAAGUUUAAAUUUUUGAUCUGUUCGAUCAUUAAAAUCUUACAUGAUCUGAGUUCAAACCGGUGUAAGCCAGGUUGGUUUCUAUCUUUAAUAAAAUAUAAUAUUUUAGUACGAAAGGAUCAAAUAUUGAAAAUAAUUUUAAUUAAUUUGAAUAUUAUUA
This 1311-nucleotide ribosomal RNA is filed under the name Sasakia charonda kuriyamaensis. RNAcentral describes it as "large subunit ribosomal RNA". The record is from RNAcentral. Lineage: Eukaryota; Metazoa; Arthropoda; Insecta; Lepidoptera; Nymphalidae.